Molecule: long non-coding RNA, 15051 nt
Filed under: Salvia miltiorrhiza (redroot sage)
Lineage: Eukaryota; Viridiplantae; Streptophyta; Magnoliopsida; Lamiales; Lamiaceae
Description: long non-coding RNA (SMIL_LNC006144)
Source: RNAcentral
UUGCUCGCCCUUGUCAACUCUCGCGUUGUCCCCUCGUAGGCACACCAAAACUUCCCCUUCGCCUUCCGUGGAUUCAAGGUGCCAGAUUUGCAGAGCAAGCUACAUUUUUCACAACAUUUCUUGAUGAAAAAAAACAGCAGCAAUAGGAUUCCAGUGAUUGAUUAUUAUCAGCAAUAAUGUACAUCAACUUACGCCUCAUCAGCUGAUGCGUUGCCAGCUUUGGCCGAUGCAGCAGAGAUGACGGGGUACGCCUUGUGUAGAGGCAACAAUGUAGCUGAGAGGCUCUCCCUCUUCAAGCACAGUUUGUUCCCGACAACGGCACUAUAUCACUUGUUGAAGUAUCUUGCUCCAAUGAUCUUCCUUCAGACAUCAAAAACAUCCCAACAACAUCAUAGUUAGAUCAUUUAAUUACUGUGACAACAGUCAUACCUGGAGAGAACAAAAAUUGGUACUGGUUCAGGAGCAACAACCACAUACAUGUAGAUAGAAACGUGACAAAAGGAAAUAUGUUUAGAGUGGUGAUCUUUAAGUCUAACUUUAUGCCUAAUACUCAAAAUCAGGAAUUUAAAAAGAUAAAGAAAACGUAUACUGAAGAAGUUUAUAAAACAAUUCCACAAGCUUCAUUCUUUCUAACAGAAACCAAACAGAUGUGCCUAAAGGGCAUAUAGCAGUUUAUGUAGGAGAAGUUCAGAGGAGAAGGUAUGUGGUGCCUUUAUCAUACCUCAACCACCCUUCAUUUCAAGCGUUGCUGCGACGAGCUGAGGACGAGUUCGGCUUCAAUCACCCCAUGGGAGGCCUCACGAUCCCUUGCAACGAGAACGCGUUCGUUGAAGUGACUUCAAAAAUGCAGCUGUGGCAUGCGUGAAGAGAGCAAGCAUUAAUUCAACAGUUUUUGAGGACUCAUUAUUUAUGUAUAUAGUGUUCCAACAAUAUAUAGCUGCAGUGUUUGUAAACAGAUCAUGUAGUGAGAAUUCAGCUUAGUCAUCCUUCAUUUCAAGGCUUGUUGCACCGAGCCGAGGAAGAAUUCGGCUUCAAUCACCCCACAGGAGGUCUAAUGAUUCCAUGCAGUGAGAAUGCCUUUCUUGAACUAACUUCUACGAUACAAAUUCAUCAUGCAAGAAACCAAUGAAGAAUAUUUUUAUUAAUUUUUUUACUAUUUUUUUUUUGUGCUUUUGUUUUUAUAGAAUAGCUUUAGGAGUGUAGAUUCAUGUAUUGGUGAUCCACUGACAUAUACGGACACACAAACACAGAGAAAAAAGAAAAAAUAUUAUUUUCAUUCAAAUAAAGUUUUUACAUUUUUNNNNNNNNNNNNNNNNNNNNNNNNNNNNNNNNNNNNNNNNNNNNNNNNNNNNNNNNNNNNNNNNNNNNNNNNNNNNNNNNNNNNNNNNNNNNNNNNNNNNNNNNNNNNNNNNNNNNNNNNNNNNNNNNNNNNNNNNNNNNNNNNNNNNNNNNNNNNNNNNNNNNNNNNNNNNNNNNNNNNNNNNNNNNNNNNNNNNNNNNNNNNNNNNNNNNNNNNNNNNNNNNNNNNNNNNNNNNNNNNNNNNNNNNNNNNNNNNNNNNNNNNNNNNNNNNNNNNNNNNNNNNNNNNNNNNNNNNNNNNNNNNNNNNNNNNNNNNNNNNNNNNNNNNNNNNNNNNNNNNNNNNNNNNNNNNNNNNNNNNNNNNNNNNNNNNNNNNNNNNNNNNNNNNNNNNNNNNNNNNNNNNNNNNNNNNNNNNNNNNCAGUCAGAAUCUCCAAGAUGAACAUAAACAUUCUCAACCUUUAUGCUUCUUUGAUUUGCAAGAAAUCAAACCGAACAAAUCCAGAGAACGGCUAAAGAGAACUAUAACAAAUCUGUCGAGAGUUUAAACAUAAUCCGGUAGGAAAUAAAGCAGGACGUUUUCGUAUUUUAAAUGAGUUUUUCUUCAUUACAGUGCCCUAUUCAUUCAUCACCAUACAAUUCCUGGUAGAAAUGCAGCAGAUACAGGGUUGGGAUUAAGUGAGAAUUAUACAUGAACAAAUCCAUGAAAUUCAUGAAAAAAUCAAUGAAAUCCAUGAACAAAUAAAUGUAUCACAUGAACAACCACAUUAACUGAAUGUGGCUGUUCAUGUGUUACAUUGUUUUGUUCAUUGAUUUUAUUGAUUUAUUCAUGUAUUCUCAUUUCUCACUGGUUCUCCAUUCUCAUUUUAUAUAGUGGUUCUUAUUUGUAACUUCUCCCAAUACAUAUAUCAAUCUAUAGGAAGGUCUACAAUUGUGAAGUUAUAAGGACUCAAAGAGACAGUAAUUUGACUGACUCUAGAUUCAUCCCCAUAUUAUUUAUGCUAUACAUUUCAAAUUUCUAUUACAAAAUUCCUUCAGAAAAUAAAUACCAAAUAACAAUCUGCAUCAGCUCUGAACAGCACAAAACCAUCUGCAAAAUCUACAGUCUAGGGCAGCUACAGGCAUAAAAAAAUCAAGGUUUCUCAGAGAGCUCAUAGUGACAAUUUAUACUAUUUUUUUUGAUUUAUAAUAAAAUUAAUUAACUGAAAUUAAAACAAAAUUAACUGAAAUUACAUACCUCAAACCGGUGGCUGAUUCCCUGCAGAGACGGCGGCGGAGGUGUGAUGGCGAAGGACAGCGGCGGAGGCUGAAUUCCUGCUGGUACAGAUCGGCCGGUGAAGGCAGAUCUUCACGGCAGGGCAGAAGGACGUCGAGGCGGAGGUGGGCGGAGGUCGAGCGACGCGUUAUAAAAUGGUGGCCGGAGACCUCGAUUCAAUGCAAAUCAUAGACCCAAAUCUCUCACCUAAACCUCUCUCGUCCCUCUCCUUUCCAUAUAACCUCCGGAGAGCUGGUGGCCGCGAUUUAGGGACCUAGGGUUUGGAAAAAUAGGUUGUGGUGCUAUCGCUUGAGAUGCGGGCGGCGACGGCUGUAAUUGAGCAGUGGAGAUAGAGAGAAAUGCGGAGGCGCGGCGUGCUGGCUGUGUUGUCGCCAGAGCUGGGUAGGAGAGGCGACGAUUUCACUGUGGUCGACGCGACGCGGUGCGAGGCAACGGUGAGGCUGAGAGAGAUAUGUUUUGGGACUGAGAGAGAUAGCGGCGCGUUACAAACGAGAGAGAGAGAGAGAUUUUUUUUCACUUCAGUUCAUAAUAAUAUUAUCAUGAGAUAUUGAUAUGAUAAUAUUUUCCCAUCUAAAAUAUGUGGGAUAAACUUUUUUGUCGCCCUAAAGAAUAUGGGAUAAAAAGGGUGAGGGUUACCAAUCAAAACGUGAUAAUAUUAUAAAUUUAUUCUUUUUAUUCUUCAUAAACAACAAAGAGAACGCACCCUUAGAGAAUUAAUUUUUGUAAUUACGAGCUCGUCGAGACUAUACCAAUUAGAUAGACGAAUUAAUAUUAAUUUCAAUAGAUUCAUGCAUAGUAUACUUCUUGUAGUGUAUAUACACAGAAAGGAACAGAGGAAGGGGCAGAAGGUAGGGCCUUAGGGCUAUCUAUAAUCUAUGCAUGCAUGUUGUUUUCCAAAAUAUAGAAAUUAUACAAAUAGCAAACCAAGUGCUUUUUGUCGGUGUCACACUAAAAAAGUACAUAUACAACUAUUGAAAUGAAUCAUAAGAUCAAAAUACGAUCAAGAGUAUAAUUAAGUUAACGACAUAUAUAUCUAUAUCUUUCACCAAUAUUCAUUUCAACAUCAAGGCACGAAUUCUAGUACAAAGGCCAUCCAAUAAAUGAAACCACAAAAAANGAUAUUAGCCUUAUCUUCAUGGUACAUGACAACAAUGAAAAUGACAAAAUACAUUGUGAAUUAAUACAUAGAAAUGAGUACCUCAAGAUCUCACUUAGAAUUGCCUAAAUUCAAUUCAUAGAGUCAGAUCAAGUGUACUCGCUCCUCUUGCAUUACCAAAAUCUUGUUUCAGCUUCUUAUAAAUCAACACCGAAUUAGGAGAUGAAAUACUACUUUGGCGAACAUCGUUUCUUGAUUCUUUCCCGAGGGAUAGAUUCAAAUCGAGCUCCUUCCUUUUCAUCCCACUCUCUCGCCGCUCCAAACAUGUCAUUUGCUCAUGAUCAACUCUAUGUUGUGCAAGGUUUGAAGAGGUGAAAUAAAUAUGAUCAUCUAGCUUAUGCAAUAACCCAAAUUCCUCUUUCAUAUCUUCUUCUUUUCGCCUAGGGCCAAAAUCUAGAUUAAUCUGUGACCUGUAGUUAUGGCUGCAUCCCAAGUAGAGAAGAGGGAUUUAUACUUUAAAGAUUCAAAAACUAUAUAUGAGGAAGCGCAUAAAUAUUGUGGCAUAAAAAUGAACCUUCAAAUAUAAAUUGAAGAUUUAACUUUGAAAUAUUUUCAACUUAAUUAAUAUAGUACUAUAUAUAGCAAUAUAUAGUACCUAAAGAUAGAAAGACGCCUUUGAUGAAAACUAGGAAGAAGUGGGAGCUGUCUUAGAUUGAACAUAUUCUGGUGUUCUACUGCUCCUAAAAAGAACCCAUUAUCAGACAUCCCUGAAAAAAAUGGGGAAAAAUGGUUACUUCGAAAAAAAAAAUUGAUCACCAUAUAUGGAAACCUAUACAAUUAGAGUGAAAUGGUGACAAGUAUAAAUAUAUGGGAUGAUUAGAGUUAGAGCUAUAUAUACCUCGACCUUGAUAACUGUGCUCAUCAAUCUGCUUGCUUCUGUACAUCUGUAAAACCACCAGAAACAAAACUCCAAUUUAUUAACGAUUAAAUUAACACACACACACACUCUAAAAAAUAUAUAUAUAUAUUAUAUUGAGUUAUUGAUCUUCUUUCUAACCUGUAAAUGGCUCUUGACAUGAGCAAUAUUUAGCUCUCUCAUAUUCAUGAAUUGAAGCACUAAUUUUGGUGUAGCUCCUGUAAACAUAACGUUUUAUUAAAAAAAAAAAGGCAGAAAUGAUUUCUGAAAAAAAUUAAAAUAAACUCCAUAUAAUUCUUGCAAGAAAAAUUUCUGAAUCUCACUGUCCAAUCCACCAAGUGUUUCCACAGCUUGCAGAAAGCGGCGAUGAAGAUCGGGCGUCCACCGCAGCCGCGGCGUUUUCGAUCGGACGUAAGGCCUAAUCGUUGGCGGCUUCUUCUCUCUGCUAUAGCUUGACUUGUUGCUUGCUUCCUCCUCCUCAUCGUUUUCCUCACAAAGGCUUGUUCUAGAACAUUCUGUCUCAUCACUUCCUUCCAUGGUGUUACCUGAAGGGAAAAGGGAUGAUCAUCAAUUUUUACAAACCCUAGAAGCUCAAGAGUGAAAAGGAUCUCUACGUUUGCUAAAACAAUAGAUCUCUUAGUUUUGAAGUAUUGUAGUAUGAUGACUUCACGUUUGAGAUUUUUUUUUUUUAUAAUUCUACAUAGAAUGAAUCAAGAAUGAAACCCUAAGACAUAGUGAGAGGAAGAGAUGAAGUACUCUCUCUCUCUCAUUAUAAUAUUUUAAUGGGAAUCAUUAUGCCUCUUAAUAUUAUAUAACUAUAUGUUGCAUGUAUAGUAUAUCAUGUAUUAAUCAAGUUUUAUUAUAAAUUUGUAAUUGUGACUAGCACUCAUGUGAAUCCAGAUCACGAUGUCCCACUUGCCAAAAGCUCAAAUUUUUUCCAAGUAUAUGUUGAAUUAUAGUUGUUCUCGAAAGGUACGAACUCUACCGUAAUGUUUUGUGAAGGAAGAGGAAUCAUAAAAUAUUUAGGUGGAUAAAAAUUUCAUAGUUUGUAGGUAUGUUGUGCAUACGAUAUAGUAUAAAAUUAAAUACAACCAUUUUCAUUUUACAACAAAAUUCGUACCCAUGCAGCAUGUGGCCCCUAACAAGACAAUGGCUUGGUUGUUCUUUUAUUAAAUAAAUGUGGGAAAUUAAUUUUCAGUUAUCACAGACUCCAAAAUGUAUUCAGAAAAUGUUUUGUUUCAAUUCUGACAAGGGCAAAUUAAGCCCAGAAAUCGAAGUUCAAAUGCGUUUAAAGUUAAAACUUUUGAAAUUUAUAUGUUGUUGUCUCUUUGUUACUCGAACAAGACCAAUUUUACUUUUGGACCAUUCAAUUUUUGUAUAGUUUCAGAAAUGGGAAUCUCAUCAAUACCAAGAGAUUCAGCAACUAUACAUAUUCAGAAAUACUCCCUCCGUCCCGCUAUUUAUGGCUCGUUACUUUUCGGCACAGAAAUUAAGGAGAAGGAAAUUAAGUGAAAAGGGGUGUGGUUCACAUGUGUUUAGUAAUGGUUAAUAAUUCAAACUGAUUAAACAAAUUAGAUGCACAUUCAUUCAACAAAACCAAAACCAAUCGAACUAAUCUUGGCUUAAAAAAAAAGAAGCAAUCGAACCAGUCAAUCAAAAUUUCAGGAACAAAGAAUGAAACCAAUCAACAAUUUCAGGAACAGAGUAUGAAAAUUUCAGGAACAUAAAAUUUUCGAAACCAAUCAAAUUUUUCAAAAACCAAUCGAACUCAAACAAAUCAAACAAAAUUGGAGAAAUCUCGAGAACAUAGAAUGAAAUUGGGAGAAAUCAAAAUUUUCAAAACGAAAACAAGAAUGAAACCCUCAGACAAGUGAAGGAAUAGGUGAAGUACUCUCUCUCUCAUUAUAAUAUUUUUAAUGGGAAUCAUUAUGCCUCUUAAUAUUAUAUAACUAUAUGUUGCAUGUAUAGUAUAUCAUGUAUUAAUCAAGUUUUAUUAUAAAUUUGUAAUUGUGACUAGCACUCAUGUGAAUCCAGAUCACGAUGUCCCACUUGCCAAAAGCUCAAAUUUUUUCCAAGUAUAUGUUGAAUUAUAGUUGUUCUCGAAAGGUACGAACUCUACCGUAAUGUUUUGUGAAAGAGGAAUCAUAAAAUAUUUAGGUGGAUAAAAAUUUCAUAGUUUGUAGGUAUGUUGUGCAUACGAUAUAGUAUAAAAUUAAAUACAUCCAUUUUCAUUUUACAACAAAAUUCGUACCCAUGCAGCAUGUGGCCCCUAACAAGACAAUGGCUUGGUUGUUCUUUAUUAAAUAAAUGUGGGAAAUUAAUUUUCAGUUAUCACAGACUCCAAAAUGUAUUCAGAAAAUGUUUUGUUUCAAUUCUGACAAGGGCAAAUUAAGCCCAGAAAUCGAAGUUCAAAUGCGUUUAAAGUUAAAACUUUUGAAAUUUAUAUGUUGUUGUCUCUUUGUUACUCGAACAAGACCAAUUUUACUUUUGGACCAUUCAAUUUUUGUAUAGUUUCAGAAAUGGGAAUCUCAUCAAUACAUAUUCAGAAAUAUAUAUAUAGCAACAGAUAAAACUAGAGCCCACGACAUGAUUUCAUUUCGUUUCGUGUUUAUAUAUGUCUAAUUCAUGUUUAUUCUUAUUUCGGUCGCACUUGAUAAAUAAUUAUACUUCAUCCGAUCGACUAAAAUAUAUUCAAUUCUUUUGAGCAUAAAAAUUAAAAAAGUUAUUUUCAAGAGGAAAAAAUGAUAAAAAAAAAAAUAUAGUAUGGUCCACACUAAUUAAGCAUUAUAAGUAUAAUUUUUCACUCAAAAGCGAAAACGAGCCUAUUCUAGUGGAUCCUAAAAUAGAAAACGAGCAUAUUCUAGUGGAAUGAAGGGAGUAUAUUGUUACAAUUUAUAUGCUCAGCUAAAUACCUAUUAUAUCGUACACAUGUCAAAUUCGAAUUUGAAAUCUUAGAAUGCUAAGAAUUUGUAGGGAAUUGGAUCAAACAUUAAUUUUUGAAUCUACAAGAUAUAUGAUAUAUAUAUAUAUAUAUAUAUAUGAUUUUAAAUAAUUAUUUGGUGAUAAUAAUUAUUUUAUUAAAUAUUCAUUAUUUAACUCAAAUAAUUAUUGGAUGUUACACCGUGAGUACAUGAAUGUGGUAUAGUCGAAAUCUCAAAAAAUCGAUUUCCGUGAGUGAGACAUGCCAAAGAUUGGAUGUGGAUGUAGGGGAGUAACAUUUUAAGUUGAAAAUGCUAUUGGUCCCACAUUGGAAAAAGAGAGAAGUCCUUUCUAGUGUAUAAGUAGUUGAGUACAUGCACUUAAUAACUUAUAGGAUUGGAAAAGGGGCUUGCCCUUGUGCACACACACAUGUGCGGGCAGGCGGGUUGGUUAUGGGUCGCGACCAAGGACUUGGAUCUUGGUGCUUUGGGUGGUGUUUGGGUUCAAACUAUAUACUUUUUGGACCAAAAACAUAAGGUUGUUUGGGCAUUGUUUCUAGAACAAGUUACUUGAUAGCCCAACCGUUACAUUUCCAUGAAUGUGUACUGAUGAUUGAUUGAGCACAAUUUUGGACAUAUUUUUGCUCAAAUAUUUUUGAAAUUCUGUAACAUCCAAAACAACCAUAUGACUGAUUUGGUGAAGCAAGAAAUAACACCCUCAAUAAAAUGAUAAACGACGCUAAGAUUUACGUGGUUCGAUCAUGAAGAUCUACAUCCACGGGUGGAUUUUUGGGGGGUUUUUUCACUAUACUUUGUGUGUUUACAUUUUACAUGGUGAAGAAAUGAAGAAGAGUCCCUAAUCUAAUAACUAAACUUCUAUUUAUAUGCAUUAAAGUAAACCUAAGGACUUUGGGCCCAUUAAUUCAAGUAGAUGGGCCUAAGCCCCUACUACAUUAGUCAGCGCUAAAUAGUCAACGAUGGGAACCAAGGUUGGACUAUCCGAGUUGAAGUAGCGCCGAAUUGUCGAGGCUGGGAGCCAAGGCUAGGUUGUGAAGGCGAGAACCGGUUAAGUCGCUAACAUAAUUCUCGAUAAAUAAAGUCAACCAUGUCAAGUCAACGCUGCGCAAAAUAUUCAAGAUAAUAGUAACAAUAACAUUAAAUAAUAAUAAUAAUAAUUAAGAGAAAUAUUCCAGCACUGUUAAGCAUAGCGCUGGUGCACAAUUUAAUCCUCAUCAGCUACUCUCCCUAGUCUGAUUGAACCGUGUCUUCUUCGUGUUCAACCAAUGAAGUAUUGUUAGAGCUAGCGCUGUACUGUUCUCCCAAAUCGGCUAAACGUACACAAUUUUCAGCUCUGAAACUUGUUAGAUACAAAAAAUGUUAACUUUGCAAAACAGUAAAGACAAAAUACGCUAGCCCUACAAGUUAUCAACACAUAAGAAUUUUCAGCGCUGCUAAUAAACAAAGAUAAGAAUUUUUCCUUUAUUUUGGAGUCGUGGUCGCAGAUUUGCUUCCUCCUUUGAUUCUUGCAUGUUGUCAAAUAUGAUCGACUUUCAUUUCUUUGAGUGCAAUUAAGAAGGCCAACACUUGAGAAUAUCCCAUAUUAAAUAUCUUACAGAGAUGAGCAAUAUAAAUACUUCGUGUAGGGUGAACAAGAAGACCAUCACAAGAAGAUACUGAAAUACUAUGUAAUCUUGUCAAGGCUGAGAAACAUAAUACUUUGGUUACAUGAGAAGGCCCAUCAUAAAUAUUUGUCGAGUUUGAAUGAUAUGCUUUGUUAUUGGGCGCGUGCGAAGGCUCUUCUCUCUCCUAACAGCCAUUUCCUCUGAGGUGAGCAGUUUGAAUGGUGCUUUUUGGGUGUUGUUAUCUCCCUUCUAUUAAGUGGUUGUCCAGGCUUCAGGUUUCCUGAGGUUUGUAGGUGUUUGAGCUGUUCUAGAAUGAACUUUCAUAUUCCUUGCUAAAGCUUCAAGGAUAUGUAACUGGUUUUCCCCAAAUCAAUGGCCUAUGAGAGGGUAGAGGGGUUGAACAUACUGUUGAAGGAUUGUAAUUCCUCACUCAAUCCACUUAUGAAACUUGCAACAAAAUACUCUUCAGAAUACUCACCUCUAUUAUUGAGCACCAUACAAGCUUUAAGCUCUUCAAACCUUUCCACAUACUCAUUGUAAUUGUUGCCCAACCUCAGCUUGUUAAAUUCUGCUAUAAUUCGUGCUUCCUUCAAUUCCUCAAACCUAGCUGAGAUCAAUCCCACAAAUUGCUCCCAUUCUAGCUCAUUCUGUUUAAUCACAAAGUUUUGAUACCACUGCGUUGCCUUACCCUCAAAGUGCAUUGCAGCCAAAGUGACCUUUUGGGAAUCUAAAAUAUGGGGGAUGAGUUUGAAAUAUCCCUAACAUUUCAAGAUCCAAGAUCUAGGGCUUGACCUAUCAAACUUUAGGGAAAGGGGCUAAUAGGAUUAGCAUGUGUAUAAUUAGGUUGUAGCCUAUAUUUGUGGGAAAAUGGAGUUUUAAAGCCACUGCCCAGAAUAGAUUCCUCUUCACUCGGCUUAUCACUCUCUAAAUUCAUCAGUUACAAUUGGAUAGAUGCUAAAGUAGUGGAUAAGUGAUCGAACUUACCCUGAACACCAUCUGAUUGUCCUUUCAUCUCUUUUGCAAUGUCUGCGAUAUGCUCUUGAAGCUUAACUUCAGUAGCUUACCUUUUUAAUAUCUCAUUGUAAAUAAUCUGAUCCAAUCGUUUAUGUGCUUCUUGUAGGUCCUUAAAUCUGGUUAUCUCAGCCAUCCACCCAGAAAGCUAGCUCUAGAUACGAAUUGUUGUGUUAUAUAUGUAAUCUCAGUCGAACAAGCAUAUAGCUUUGGGGGAUACAUGCUUGAUGAAAGAAGAUCUACGAGGGCGCCACAUAAUCCUGAAGCCCAAAUUUUGCUCAAAAAUUAUACUUUAGCCGAAGCAAGGGAUCAAGAAAAUAAAUGGAAAGAUAUAUUCCAAGAGUACCCUAUAAGUACCAUUGAAGUCGAGUUUACUGAUUGCUCCAAAUCAUCUCAAUAUACUGAUGCCGAUGAUUUUGAUGAUGUUUUGGACUUCGAUAUGUACACCAAUCUUUAGUUUGAUAUGAAUAUCAAAUAUUUUAUUAUUAGUCGAAUUUCAUCAUUUUAGAAAAGAAAAAAAAGAAUGAAAGAAAACAAAAAGAACAAAUGUUGUUUGCAAAUAAACCUUCAAUUUUAUUAUAAUCAUAAAAUUGUCAUUUAAUUUUUUUAAAAAAAGAGAACAGAGCCAUCUUUUUCAUCCUUCAAGUUUAAAUUCGUAGAGAAUUUUCAAGCAGCAGCUGCACUACUUUGAACAAAGUGGUUCCUCACUCCCUGUGGGAUUCGACCCUAUACUUGCUACUAAGACUUAUUUCUAGUUGCGAGAAGUAGGAGCGUGUACUGUCCGUCUAGGACGUACAAAAGCAUUUUGAUCGUACCGCACGACGGGUGCGUGUCACAGCGGCCGAGGGCAGCGGUCCUUGCGGCCUGCUUCUCAUUUGGCCAAAGAAGGGACGACGGGGUCCUCGGCGGCAGCAGCCUACGGGCAAUUCAUCGGAAUUUCUUGGGGAAGAAGAGAGAGAAAUCGAGAGGCGAGGGCACGACGGAGCUUCUGCGGCUACGAUAGUGGCGACUUAGGGCGGCGAUUCACCGAAUUUGAGAUGGAGAAGGAUUUAAGGAUUCUUGAGUUUGGGGAUUUUUCUUAGUUCUAUGAAAUCGAAAGAUGUGAGUGGAGAUUGGAGAGAUUUUGGGAAUUUUCCCUGUGCUUGGCGGUGGCUGGAGCCGAGCUUGGCGACGACAGUGUCUUCCACGGGCUUGGUGGGACUGGCUUUAAAAAAAGGUAUGCUCUUAGUUUCAGUUUAGAUGUCACCAACUCUCGUUGCUUAAAGCAGAUAACUACCUAUAAGCAAAUAAGCAAAUAGGUGCAUGUUUUUACAAUGUAAAGCAUGAUAUUUCAUCCUUAAAGUUUGGGUACUUUUAUUAACAUCUACACACUAUUACUCAACGGGGGCGUGUUAUUGUACUUAUCGUUCAUGGAGAAAGGGUAGAAAAUGUCGGGGAUAUUCGUAAUAGUUUUAUUUUACACCUUUCAGAUUAAUUCCCUUUUCUAGUUUUCUCAUUUGUAAUGAGCUUUGUACAAAUAUUUGGGUACUGAAUUGAGGGGUUUUGGUAGGGUUUAAGUUUUUUUUCCCUACCUGCAUUCUCGAUCCCAAAUCACUGAAUCAUUUUUAUUUAGAGUAACAAUAAAUUAUCUCAAGUUCUAUAAAUUGUCAUCCAGUUUGAUCCUGAAUCCAAUAUCAGUUGUUCAGAUUGCUGUCAAGAUGUGUGCUUUUGUGAUUUUAGAUUAUUUAUUGGUUCUUUGAUUUCUUGUUUCAUGCAGAAAGUCGUUAGAUUUGUGAAGUACCAAUGUUCUUGACGAGGGUGUUUGGGAGGGCCCUCUUUGGUGCUGCAACCAAAUCCGAGGCCUCGGUUGCUGUAGCUGCCACUUAUUGUUUCUACUGUUUCACAUAGUUGUUUUUUGGAAUUUGGUAUGUUUUUGGUUUGAUCAAAACUUCUUUUUUUGUUUAAAUUUCAAAAGUUAUGAUUUGAUGUUGUUUACCAGCACAUUUUAUGUUGAGAGCUGGUGGAGACCUGCUGUUACAAGUGGUAUUUUCAUUGUGACAGCCUUUAUACAGAUUGGCUCGAUGGAUACCGUGCUCGAAAGAUGGAUUUGGGAACUCCAUUUGGUGCAUUUUUGGAUCCAGUGGCAGAUAAGCUUAUUCCGGGGUUUUGUUGCUACAUAUUUCGGCAUGGCUUGCCUUACGGUCAUUGGUCAUGUAUUUUUUAUUUUGGCCAAGAGUCGCUGCAUAUGCUUUACAUGCAUUUGUUGCUCUGUUUAGCAGCUUGGUGGCUGAUUUAGGCUUAGUGAUUUGUUAGAAGUGCGAGAAUGCUUGUUAAAGAGAUAGGACAAGAUCCAACUUGUUAUUAAAUGUACUAUAUAAGUGGUAUGAUUGUUGACUUUAUUAGAUCUAUCAAUUUUAUUUUUGAAUUCACAAGCAGAUCUUUAAAUUCACAAUUUAAUAUUAUUAACUAGAUCUAUGAAUUCACCAUUAAAACUAGAAUUAACAACUAGUCGUGAAUUUCAGUUUUAAAACUUGAAUUCAUGAUUAACAAUAUUUCUAGUUGUGAAUUCAUUUAAAACUUGAAUUCACAACUAAUGUUAUUUAUAGUUGUGAAUUCGUGUGAAUUCACGACCAACAACAAUUCUAGUUGUGAAUUCACUCGAAUUCACGACUAACACUAUUUGUAGUUGUGAAUUUAUUUAAAACUUGAAUUCACAACUUAAUGUUCUUGAAUUCACGACCACAUCUAUUGCUUGUCCAUUGAUGCUUAGUUUCUAAAUCACCUUAUUAGUCGUCUUUACUUAUUUGAUUUUAUUUGUCUUUGAACUUAUUAGGUAAUCAAUCAGAUAAUCAAACCAAUCACCUUAUUGUUUAGUCUAAUUAGCCCUAAUACAAUGAAUUAGGAUAAUCACUAGAAUUAACUACUAAUCCUUGUGGAAUACGACCUCGCUUCCCUAUAUUGCAACUACACCGUACACUUGCGCCAUAAUGAAAAUAAAUAGCGAACAGAAUUCACAACCAAUUUGAUGAAUUCACAACUGAAUUGUUAGUGUUAGUUGUGAAGUUCUUGAAUUCACGACCAGAUCUAUGAAUUCAUGUAACACCCCAAUUUUCAUAAACUUUACUAAUUAAAAAAAAUAGAGAACAAAAGAUAGUAAAAUAAAAAUUUCUUAAUUUAUAAAGAAAAUUUAAACUAAUUUCAAAGUCAACUUGCCAAAACUAAAGUAGUAUCAUAAAAUAAAAAUAAAAAUAAAAUAAAAAUAAAACAAUAAACUAAAACUUAACAAGUUCAACUAAAAUGUUCAAUGUAAAAGAAAUCCUUAUCCCUAAUCAUUCUCCACUUCCAUGGCCACUUCGACUCUGAAACUGCAAAACUGAAACGAUAAGGGAUGAGCAUAUUGAAAAUAUACUCAGUGAGGAACAUAACAAAUAUCCAUAUACAUCACAUAUAUAAUUAAAUCACGUUAUCAUACUUGCAAACAUACGCCAAGAGACUAGAGCCCCUUGACAAACAUAAUCAUAGUUUGAGUCGAUGGCUUAAGUCCCAUGACCAAACACAUACAUAGAUCAAUGGCUUAGGUCCCAUGAUCAACUUAUUAACAUAGAUCAAUGGCUUAGGUCCCAUGAUCGCACAUAACAUCAUAGAUCAAUGGCUUAGGUCCCAUGAUCGCACAUAACAUCAUAGAUCAAUGGCUUAGGUUCCAUGAUCACACAUAACAACAUAGUCAUAAGAUACAAGUAAUCAAGCGCGAUAAUAAAAAUAUAUAUAACCAUAUGAAUAAGCGUAAAAUCCCUCACCUUAAUGUCGAAGCUUAUAUAUCAAAUUCAGAAUGAGGAUUUUAAUCGCACCGCACCUAAUUAAAUAGAUAAAACAUUUCAAUAUGAAUCAUAAUUAUAACUUAAACUAGAAUCUUAAAAAAAAUCUUUAUAAUCGUGUGUAUAUAUAUAUAUAUAUAUAUNUAAAAAAAAAUUAAAUUAUAAUCGUGUAUCUAUAUAUAAUAUAAUAAGCAUGCGAAAAAUAACAAAAAAAAUAGAAAUUAAAUAAACACGAUCUGGAAACUUUUAAAGAAUUAAACUGUCUUUUAUAAAAUAAAAUAAAAUAAACAGCUUAUAGAAUUUAACAUAUUACUAAGAAAAAACAAAACUUAGUUAACUAAAUAAAAAUUAGCCGCCAUUAUUGAUGUGAUUUGGAAAAGUAUAUAUAUAAAAAAACUAAUGUUAACUAAUAAUACUCCUACGACUUUAAACACAAUAAAACUUAAAUAAUUUUUAAACAAAAAAGUAUUCUGUACUCAUCAUCAUUAACAAUUGCGAAAAAAUAAAACUAGGCUUUGUGACUCUUCUUAUUUUGUUUGUUUAUAGUAAAAGGAAAUAAAAUACUACAAGUUGUUAAAAGAAAUUAAGGCUUACCGGCUUCUAGGAUAGAAACGUUCUCUGACGACUAAGAGGAAAAUAUUUAGAGCUAUGUAUGCGUGUGUUUCUAGGGUAAAUAAUUGUGCCUCAAUUUAUACUAGUCUUGAAAGAAUUUGAUAAGUGUAAAGAUGGUAUUCUAUGUAUAUCUCCUAAUAGUAUAAGGAAUAAAGAUGAUAAAAGAGUUCUAAUAUUAAUAAAUAUAAUAAGAAACAAAAUUAAAUAAUAAUAAUAAUAAUAAUAAUAAUAAUAAUAAUAAUAAUAAUAAUAAUCUUGAUCAAAUUAAUGGUGCGUAUUUAUAUAUAUAUAUAUAUAUAUCAUGUAGUUAUCUAAAAGAAUAAUAAUAAUAAGCUAUACAAGAAAAAGAAAUACUAAUAAUUAAGCUUAUAUAAUAAAUCUAAAUAUUUGGGAUGUUACAAUUCACAACUUGAUAUGCUUAAAUUCACAACCAGAUUUAUGAAUUCACAACUAAAUAUUCUUGAAUUCACAACCAGAUAUAUGAAUUCACAACUAACUUUAUUGCUG